This 354-nucleotide ribosomal RNA is filed under the name uncultured bacterium. RNAcentral describes it as "bacterial SSU rRNA". It matches the Rfam family "Bacterial small subunit ribosomal RNA", at positions 527 to 881 of the family's 1533-position model. The record is from RNAcentral.
AGAGGGUGCAAGCGUUAAUCGGAAUUACUGGGCGUAAAGCGCGCGUAGGUGGUUUGUUAAGUUGGAUGUGAAAGCCCCGGGCUCAACCUGGGAACUGCAUCCAAAACUGGCAAGCUAGAGUACGGUAGAGGGUGGUGGAAUUUCCUGUGUAGCGGUGAAAUGCGUAGAUAUAGGAAGGAACACCAGUGGCGAAGGCGACCACCUGGACUGAUACUGACACUGAGGUGUGAAAGCGUGGGGAGCAAACAGGAUUAGAUACCCUGGUAGUCCACGCCGUAAACGAUGAGUACUAGCUGUCGGAGGUUACCCCCUUCGGUGGCGCAGCUAACGCAUUAAGUACUCCGCCUGGGAAGU